This 45-nucleotide non-coding RNA is filed under the name Schistosoma curassoni. The record is from RNAcentral. Lineage: Eukaryota; Metazoa; Platyhelminthes; Trematoda; Strigeidida; Schistosomatidae.
UUCCAGCUGAUGAGUCCAGAAUAAGACGAAACCCUCGUCCUAGAU